This 120-nucleotide ribosomal RNA is filed under the name uncultured bacterium. RNAcentral's name for it is "partial 16S ribosomal RNA". It matches the Rfam family "Bacterial small subunit ribosomal RNA", at positions 28 to 145 of the family's 1533-position model. The record is from RNAcentral.
GACGAACGCUGGCGGCGUGCUUAACACAUGCAAGUCGAGCGACAGCAUUCCUUUCGGGGGGUGUAUGGAGCGGCGAACGGGUGAGUAACACGUGAGCAACCUGCCUUUGGCUUUGGGAUA